This 719-nucleotide small RNA is filed under the name Histoplasma capsulatum. RNAcentral's name for it is "hypothetical RNA". The record is from RNAcentral. Lineage: Eukaryota; Fungi; Ascomycota; Eurotiomycetes; Onygenales; Ajellomycetaceae. RNAcentral also lists the same sequence under 1 other name.
GCACGUUUUCCCUGUUCUCCACCGGGCUCACUCGCUCAAACCCCUCUGAGACCACCUUGUCCACAAUCAUGCCAGAAUCUCCCUAUUGCUCUGCGGUCUUGCACUUCAGAGCUGUAGAUAUGCUCUGUAGUCUAAAGCUCUUGAGCAAUUGAGCUUUUGACUUGUAGUGGAGAUAAGUUUUAGUCAUAUCGAAUAUCCACUGUAAAUCCAUAUGGCUUAGAUAACUUCCGUUUUUCUGUUUGCCGCUCGAGAUAACCCGCUCCCUCCUUCGACCUGCAACGGUAACAAAGGAUCAUCAGGCAUUUCGAUAGAAAGUCUCCAGGAUAUUCUUCUCCAAGAUCGAGACGCGUCCCCAGACAUAUACACAUUAACAGAAUGCCCGAACAGGAAAUUGCUCGGUGGCUGUCAUCUGGUCGAUGCAGGGCCUCAGACCACGGUGGUUUUCAAACCAUUACACAGCGCCUGAUAGAAAGAUUUCAGACGUAAUAACGCCGUACGACGCCCGUAGACUCCUAAGCGCCGAAGAUUUCCGGUAAUUAGAGAAAUAGCGUCCGGAAGAGUUUCAAGCAAAAUCUUUUCAAACAGUUAUCGGUGUCCAGAUGGAAACAACUGGCGUUCGCCCGUCGGUAGAAAUAGGCCAGGAAGAACGUUUGGGACUGCAACGGCGGAUAAUUUAAGGCCAAAUAUAUAGGCAGAAAUGCAAAUGAAAGGAAACAGGA